CCCGGCUGGCGCUCCUCCUCCGAGCCGAGCCUGCCGGGAGACAGCGCGGGGGGUAGCGGGAUCCCGCAGCACCACAGAGCGGCCCCGCGAAAGGACCUGGGGGUGUUGGUGACAGUGGCUGAACAUGAGCCAGCGUCCAAGAGGCCACCAGCGUCCUGGCUGGUACCAGCACUGGUGUGGCCAGCAGGCCCAGGGCAGUGACCGUCCCUGUGCUGGGACCUGGGGAGGCCAAACCGCGAAUCCCGGGGGCAGUUCUGGGCCCCUCACGUCAAGAAAGGCCUUGAGGUGCUGGAGCGAGUGGAGAGAAGGGAACGGAGCUGUAAACAGCAAUCCCGGCAGGGAAAGGUAAAUACAUCGGUACGGGUUGCGCAGCCCCGUGUUGGAGCGUGUCCACGGUCACACCAGUGUCACCUGCACGACGAGGACCGUCCCGUCCCUCCCUGGUGCUCACCUCUCCCCCAGCACCCGUGUCCACGACGUGUCCUGGCCCAGCUCCUUCUCCAGCAGCUCAAACUUCUGCGCCAGCUCCUGCAAGCUGGAGUCCAGGUCACCGAACUGAGCCUCCACGGUCUGCAGCUUGGUUUCUACCCUGGGGGACGGAACAGAAGGACAUUUCGUCAGGACUUGGGCACCAAGCGCUGUCGCUUUCUGCCGUGAUGGUGGGGACACUUAUGUUGCACUGGGAACAGCUCCAGACCCCGUUCUGAGGCUCCUCCCAAGCUGUGUGACAACACAUACCACUAGAAAUGAAGUUUUUUUGACACGGCCCAUAUCUUCUUUGCCCUCUCCUGGUGAAGAAGUGUUAUAACUUAUAAAUACAGAUUCAAGAUUUAUAUUUAGACGUGACUGCAGGUGUGAACCAUUUGCAUUAGGGGCACAGCUGUUUAAUAAAUUUUGAGGUGAUUUGUGCUU
Molecule: long non-coding RNA, 912 nt
Organism: Columba livia (rock pigeon)
Lineage: Eukaryota; Metazoa; Chordata; Aves; Columbiformes; Columbidae
Exons: 2
Source: RefSeq, a predicted model, not a curated record